AUGUGUAUGACAAGUUCUUGCAAUUGUUGCAGUACUCUCAUGAUGUACCAUGCUAAGAAGUUUUCUGUGCCCUUUGCACCACAGAGGGCUCAGAAUAGUGAGCAUGUGAGUAAUAUUGGAGCUUUCGGUGGAUCCAACAUAAGCAACCCUGCCAAUCCUGUAGGGAGUGGGAAACAACGUCUAAGAUGGACCUCUGAUCUUCAUAGUCGUUUUGUGGAUGCAAUCGCCCAACUUGGUGGACCAGAUAGAGCAACACCUAAAGGAGUACUGACUGUAAUGGGUGUACCGGGGAUUACAAUUUAUCACGUGAAGAGCCAUUUGCAGAAGUAUCGCCUUGCAAAGUACAUACCAGAAUCGCCUGCUGAAGCUUGUGUAGGUUCCAAGGACGAAAAGAAGGAUUCUAGUGAUUCAUUCUCUAAUGCAGAUUCUGCACCGGGUUCACAAAUCAAUGAAGCAUUGAAGAUGCAAAUGGAAGUUCAGAAGCGGCUCCAUGAACAACUCGAGGUUCAAAAGCAGUUGCAGCUGAGAAUCGAAGCACAAGGGAAGUACUUGCAGAUGAUCAUAGAGGAGCAGCAAAAGCUUGGUGGCUCACUUGAAGGUUCUGAGGAGAGGAAGCUUUCACAUUCACCACCUACCUUAGAUGACUACCCUGACAGCAUACAGCCUUCUCCGAAGAAACCACGGUUGGAUGAUCUGUCAACAGACGCGGUCCGGGGUGUUGCACAGCCAGGGUUUGAAUCCCAUCUUGUCGGCCCAUGGGAUCAAGAACUCUGUCCAAAGACCAACAUAUGCGAUCCCGCAUUCCAAGUGGAUGAGUUUAAGGCAAACCCUGGUUUGAGCAAGUCAUAA
Molecule: ribosomal RNA, 849 nt
Filed under: Triticum aestivum (bread wheat)
Lineage: Eukaryota; Viridiplantae; Streptophyta; Magnoliopsida; Poales; Poaceae
Description: partial small subunit ribosomal RNA
Source: RNAcentral